UACGGAGGGUGCAAGCGUUAUCCGGAUUCACUGGGUUUAAAGGGUGUGUAGGCGGGCAGUUAAGUCAGUGGUGAAAUCUCCGGGCUCAACCCGGAAACUGCCAUUGAUACUAUCUGUCUUGAAUAUCGUUGAGGCGGGCAGAAUAUGUCAUGUAGCGGUGAAAUGCAUAGAUAUGACAUAGAAUACCGAUUGCGUAGGCAGCUUACUACACGAUCAUUGACGCUGAGGCACGAAAGCGUGGGGAGCAAACAGG
Molecule: ribosomal RNA, 253 nt
Filed under: uncultured bacterium
Lineage: Bacteria
Description: partial 16S ribosomal RNA
Rfam family: Bacterial small subunit ribosomal RNA
Source: RNAcentral